UACGGAGGGUGCAAGCGUUGUUCGGAAUCACUGGGCUUAAAGCGCGUGUAGGCGGAGUGUCAGGUGCUGUGUGAAAUCCCCGGGCUCAACCCGGGAACUGCGCGGCAAACCGGCAUUCUUGAGGCAAGUAGAGGUGACUGGAACGACCGGUGGAGCGGUGAAAUGCGUAGAUAUCGGUUGGAACGCCAGAGGCGAAAGCGGGUCACUGGGCUUGUCCUGACGCUGAGACGCGAAAGCGUGGGGAGCAAAC
This 250-nucleotide ribosomal RNA is filed under the name uncultured bacterium. RNAcentral describes it as "partial 16S ribosomal RNA". It matches the Rfam family "Bacterial small subunit ribosomal RNA", at positions 524 to 773 of the family's 1533-position model. The record is from RNAcentral.